UGUCAUCUUAAACUUGAUUGUGAAGUUCUGUUUUGGUGAUGAUGAAGGCCUCACUGUAGUUUAAAGAUAAAGAACCAGAUGGUAAUAUUUUAAAAGAAUAAACCACUUGUAAGAAAAUUGGAAUACUUGUGCAUGAUUUUGAAUAAAUUUUUAGUAUUCUCAAAAAGACAGUCACAAUAUAUUCUAAAGAAAUGAUCUUGAAAAGUCCUUUUUAAUCUAUUUUAUUGCUAAUUGUAUAAUUUGCUGACAAGAUGUUAAUAAAUUGAAAAUGUACCAAUUGACAUUAUCAAAGAGCACAAUAGUCAAGACAAAUAGCUUCUUUUUCAUCUCAUGUCUGUGCACUUUAAUUUGUUCAAUCUACUUUGUGCAGAAGGAUAGAUCACAUCUACCAACGUCAUCAUAAAUAAUCUUAAGAAAACAUUUGUGUGUUACAUAAUUUGUUUACAUCACUCAUGCAACACUUGAAUAACUGUUAAUACAAUGUAAAUAAUCUGGUGUUGAACCCUUCUUUAUUUCUUUUCAAUGAAUAUUACAAAUUAAUAUACGAAGGGAGAUAACUCAUUUGUCCAACGGUAUUUUUCUUUUG
This 586-nucleotide long non-coding RNA is filed under the name Mytilus galloprovincialis (Mediterranean mussel). The record is from RNAcentral. Lineage: Eukaryota; Metazoa; Mollusca; Bivalvia; Mytilida; Mytilidae.